RNAcentral lists this non-coding RNA (25 nucleotides) under Mus musculus (house mouse). The record is from RNAcentral. Lineage: Eukaryota; Metazoa; Chordata; Mammalia; Rodentia; Muridae.
UACUGCUUUAUUGGACGUCUGUAAC